RNAcentral lists this unclassified non-coding RNA (332 nucleotides) under soil metagenome. Its description in RNAcentral is "partial contains 5.8S ribosomal RNA, internal transcribed spacer 2, and large subunit ribosomal RNA". The stretch from base 5 to 119 matches the Rfam family "5.8S ribosomal RNA", at positions 40 to 154 of the family's 154-position model. The record is from RNAcentral.
GAUGAGAACGCAGCGAAAUGCGAUAAGUAGUGUGAAUUGCAGAAUUCAGUGAAUCAUCGAAUCUUUGAACGCACAUUGCGCCCCUUGGUAUUCCAUGGGGCAUGCCUGUUCGAGCGUCAUUUGUACCUUCAAGCUCUGCUUGGUGUUGGGUGAUUGUCUAUCUUUUUAGACUCGCCUUAAAGUCAUUGGCAGCCGGCAUAUUGGCCUGGGAGCGCAGCACAAGUCGCGCUUCUUGUCAUGAAUGUUGGCGUCCAGUAAGUCUACAUAUUUUGCUCUUGACCUCGGAUCAGGUAGGGAUACCCGCUGAACUUAAGCAUAUCAAUAGCGGAGGA